CGUCGUCUACAUUUCAGGGGGCGGCGGGCCCCUGUUCAUGUGACCUUCAGUGUUCGGAAUGACGUAGGAAGGUAAGUCCCUCCCCCCGGGGUCAGGCUGAGGGUGAGGGUUAGGAUGAGGAUUCCGGUGAGUGACAGCCUCGCAGUUUCUGCACCUGGGUAUUGGUGGGCGGCUUUCCUAGUGAGUAUCAGCAUGAGAUUUCACCUUAGGCUCAGCCACAGUGGAGGAGGUCGAGGACCGCCCUCGGGGAAGGUAGGAAUCAGGUGGUGGGUUAGGGUUAGGGUUAGGACAGGGGAGCACGACACGGAAGGAAUUCACACAGCAGACAAUUUGGGCGUGAGAGGCAAGGUGGUGGGUUAGGGUUAGGGUUAGGACAGGGGAGCACGACACGGAGGGAAUUCACACAGCAGACAAUUUGGGUGUGAGAGGUAAGGUGAGGGCAGUGACUUUUGUGAAGCUCAGAAGUGCCGCGGUUUUCCCUCGGACCGGAGCCUUGCCGCCUUGACAGAAUCGGGAGGGAGGCGCCAUCGCCUAGCGUUAGAGCCACAUUUAGGGGCUGGAUCGGAUUCCCGGUUGGACUCCC
Molecule: long non-coding RNA, 583 nt
Filed under: Fukomys damarensis (Damara mole-rat)
Lineage: Eukaryota; Metazoa; Chordata; Mammalia; Rodentia; Bathyergidae
Description: lncRNA (ENSFDAG00000023457.1)
Source: RNAcentral